UACGUAGGUGGCGAGCGUUGUCCGGAUUUACUGGGUGUAAAGGGCGCGUAGGCGGGCGAGCAAGUCAGUCGUGAAAUACCGAGGCUCAACUUCGGAGCUGCCAUUGAAACUGUUCAUCUUGAGUGCCGGAGAGGAAAGCGGAAUUCCUAGUGUAGCGGUGAAAUGCGUAGAUAUUGGGAGGAACACCGGUGGCGAAGGCGGCUUUCUGGACGGUAACUGACGCUGAGGCGCGAAAGUGUGGGGAGCAAAC
Molecule: ribosomal RNA, 250 nt
Filed under: uncultured prokaryote
Description: partial 16S ribosomal RNA
Rfam family: Bacterial small subunit ribosomal RNA
Source: RNAcentral